Molecule: long non-coding RNA, 737 nt
Filed under: Amborella trichopoda
Lineage: Eukaryota; Viridiplantae; Streptophyta; Magnoliopsida; Amborellales; Amborellaceae
Description: long non-coding RNA (ATRI_LNC002800)
Source: RNAcentral
UUAAGUUUGAUUGGUUCGUUAAUUUUAGAGUCCAUCUUUAACUUGAAAUAAUCUCUUUGUUUUAGAGGUAAGUCUCUUAGAGAUAGGUUUAUCCUUUUGAAUUGGUAAUACGUAUUUGGGAUUGUUUCUCUAUAUAACAUUUAGGGUGGAGUCAUCUAUUAGGGAUAGGAGUGUUUAUUUAGAUAUCGUUUAGCAAUAGGAGUUACGUUUUCUAACAGGAGUUGGGAGACCUAAUGGGUUAUCUUUCCUAAAGAGAUAAGAGUUACAUUAUUUGUUUAGGUUGCAUGGACGGCUUACAUCCUAACAUUAAGAGGCGUACACCCUUAUUAGAUAAGGAAGAGAAUAUAUUUUUUAGAAAGUUUUGGAAAGGACCCUUAUAUAAAAGGGUUACACAUACAUGUAAUGGAGGGAUUGAAUUUUAUGAAUGAAAAAAAUUGAUCUUUGAGAUUGUGUAGAGUGUGAGAGAGUGACCUUUGUGGGUGUUUUUUCUUCUUCUUUUCUUGUGGCUCCUGUCAGAAUACUCAUAUCUGCGUGUUUUGUUCUUUCUUUUUGUGAUUUCCUUCAUGAUUUUUAUUUGUCUCUCUUAAAACGCAGUUAAUUUUGCUGGUGUUGUUUGCCGGUAAAUUUUAAUAUUGCAUUAUAUAGCGAUUUAUGGUCUAAUUGAGGGUAUGACCCUUGAUGGAGUGGAAUGUGUUGGAACAAGUUCAUGUAACCAACCCUAGAUAAUUGGGAUAUGG